GGAUUUACUGGGUGUAAAGGGCGUGCAGCCGGGUCUGCAAGUCAGAUGUGAAAUCCAUGGGCUCAACCCAUGAACUGCAUUUGAAACUGUAGAUCUUGAGUGUCGGAGGGGCAAUCGGAAUUCCUAGUGUAGCGGUGAAAUGCGUAGAUAUUAGGAGGAACACCAGUGGCGAAGGCGGAUUGCUGGACGAUAACUGACGGUGAGGCGCGAAAGUGUGGGGAGCAAACAGGAUUAGAUACCCUGGUAGUCCACACUGUAAACGAUGAAUACUAGGUGUGCGGCGUGCCGCAGUAAACACAAUAAGUAUUCCACCUGGGGAGUACGAUCGCAAGGUUGAAACUCAAAGGAAUUGACGGGGGCCCGCACAAGCGGUGGAUUAUGUGGUUUAAUUCGAAGCAACGCGAAGAACCUUACCAGGGUUUGACAUCCAGGUGGUGCAUGGUUGUCGUCAGCUCGUGUCGUGAGAUGUUGGGUUAAGUCCCGCAACGAGCGCAACCCCUAUUGUUAGUUGCCACUCUAGCGAGACUGCCGUUGACAAACGGAGGAAGGUGGGGACGACGUCAAAUCAUCAUGCCCCUUAUAUCCUGGGCUACACACGUAAUACAAUGGCGGUCACAGAGGGAAGCAAAGCCGCGAGGCAGAGCAAACCCCCAAAGCCGUC
Molecule: ribosomal RNA, 661 nt
Filed under: uncultured bacterium
Lineage: Bacteria
Description: bacterial SSU rRNA
Rfam family: Bacterial small subunit ribosomal RNA
Source: RNAcentral